GGGAAUUUUCCGCAAUGGGUGAAAGCCUGACGGAGCAACGCCGCGUGAGGGACGAAGGCCUCUGGGCUGUAAACCUCUUUUCUCAAGGAAGAAGAUAUGACGGUACUUGAGGAAUAAGCCACGGCUAAUUCCGUGCCAGCAGCCGCGGUAAUACGGGAGUGGCAAGCGUUAUCCGGAAUUAUUGGGCGUAAAGCGUCCGCAGGCGGCUUUUCAAGUCUGCUGUUAAAACGUGGAGCUUAACUCCAUCAUGGCAGUGGAAACUGAAAGGCUUGAGUAUGGUAGGGGCAGAGGGAAUUCCCGGUGUAGCGGUGAAAUGCGUAGAUAUCGGGAAGAACACCAGUGGCGAAGGCGCUCUGCUGGGCCAUUACUGACGCUCAUGGACGAAAGCCAGGGGAGCGAAAGGGAUUAGAUACCCCUGUAGUCA
RNAcentral lists this ribosomal RNA (424 nucleotides) under uncultured cyanobacterium. Its description in RNAcentral is "bacterial SSU rRNA". It matches the Rfam family "Bacterial small subunit ribosomal RNA", at positions 357 to 796 of the family's 1533-position model. The record is from RNAcentral. Lineage: Bacteria; Bacillati; Cyanobacteriota.